Molecule: ribosomal RNA, 465 nt
Filed under: uncultured bacterium
Lineage: Bacteria
Description: partial 16S ribosomal RNA
Rfam family: Bacterial small subunit ribosomal RNA
Source: RNAcentral
CCUACGGGAGGCUGCAGUAGGGAAUCUUCCACAAUGGACGAAAGUCUGAUGGAGCAACGCCGCGUGAGUGAAGAAGGGUUUCGGCUCGUAAAGCUCUGUUGGUAGUGAAGAAAGAUAGAGGUAGUAACUGGUCUUUAUUUGACGGUAAUUACUUAGAAAGUAACGGCUAACUACGUGCCAGCAGCCGCGGUAAUACGUAGGGGGCAAGCGUUGGCCGGAAUUAUUGGGCGUAAAGCGAGGGCAGGCGGUUGAAUAAGUCUGAUGUGAAAGCCUUCGGCUUAACCGGGGAAUUGCAUCAGAAACUGUUGAACUUGAGUGCAGAAGGGGGGGGUAGAACUCCAUGUGUAGCGGUGGAAUGCGUAGAGAUGUGGAGGAACACCGGUGGCGAAGGCGGCUCUCUGGUCUGCGACUGACGCUGAGGCGCGAAAGCAUGGGUAGCGAACAGGAUUAGAUACCCGAGUAGUC